CACAUUGCUAUUUGUCAAUUGCCACCCACCACCCUAUCAGAAGAAAGCACUUUCCUAUUGCCACCUAAUCCUCUGUCUUCAUCCCAGAAAGAGAAGAAGCCAAUUGAAAUUACACUUAACGUUGCUUGAAGUUUAAGUCUUAAAUGGUUUGAUGAGAAAUAUGGGACAAACCUUCACUUGAAGGCAUUUUGAUCUUAAGAGCAUGUUGAUGUGUUGGCUAUUUAUUUUUUUGAUCGCUAUGAACAUUUUUUUUUUUUUGCUUAUGAUUUAGUAUUAUGUUGUAUUGACACUUGCAAGUGGUGUAGAGUUAAUUUUGUAUUUUGA
Molecule: long non-coding RNA, 324 nt
Organism: Dioscorea cayenensis subsp. rotundata (Guinea yam)
Lineage: Eukaryota; Viridiplantae; Streptophyta; Magnoliopsida; Dioscoreales; Dioscoreaceae
Exons: 3
Source: RefSeq, a predicted model, not a curated record